Molecule: non-coding RNA, 77 nt
Organism: Phrynosoma platyrhinos (Desert horned lizard)
Lineage: Eukaryota; Metazoa; Chordata; Lepidosauria; Squamata; Phrynosomatidae
Source: the annotation of a GenBank genome assembly
GCCAGCGUGGGGUGCAGUGGUUUGAGUGUAGGACUAGGACUCCUUAGGAGACCAGGGUUCAAAUCUCUGCUCAGUCA